RNAcentral lists this ribosomal RNA (1084 nucleotides) under Fischerella sp. Ind26. RNAcentral's name for it is "bacterial SSU rRNA". It matches the Rfam family "Bacterial small subunit ribosomal RNA", at positions 267 to 1357 of the family's 1533-position model. Lineage: Bacteria; Bacillati; Cyanobacteriota; Cyanophyceae; Nostocales; Hapalosiphonaceae. The record is from RNAcentral.
ACCAAGGCGACGAUCAGUAGCUGGUCUGAGAGGAUGAUCAGCCACACUGGAACUGAGACACGGUCCAGACUCCUACGGGAGGCAGCAGUGGGGAAUUUUCCGCAAUGGGCGAAAGCCUGACGGAGCAAUACCGCGUGAGGGAGGAAGGCUCUUGGGUUGUAAACCUCUUUUCUCAGGGAAUAAGCAAGUGAAGGUACCUGAGGAAUCAGCAUCGGCUAACUCCGUGCCAGCAGCCGCGGUAAUACGGAGGAUGCAAGCGUUAUCCGGAAUGAUUGGGCGUAAAGCGUCCGUAGGUGGCUGUGUGUGUCUAUUGUUAAAGAGUUUGGCUCAACCAAAUAAGGGCGGUAGAAACUACACAGCUAGAGUGCGUUCGGGGCAGAGGGAAUUCCUGGUGUAGCGGUGAAAUGCGUAGAGAUCAGGAAGAACACCGGUGGCGAAAGCGCUCUGCUAGGCCGCAACUGACACUGAGGGACGAAAGCUAGGGGAGCGAAUGGGAUUAGAUACCCCAGUAGUCCUAGCCGUAAACGAUGGAUACUAGGCGUUGAGAGUAUCGACCCUCUCAGUGCCGUAGCUAACGCGUUAAGUAUCCCGCCUGGGGAGUACGCACGCAAGUGUGAAACUCAAAGGAAUUGACGGGGGCCCGCACAAGCGGUGGAGUAUGUGGUUUAAUUCGAUGCAACGCGAAGAACCUUACCAGGGCUUGACAUGUCUGGAACUCUGGGGAAACUCGGAGUUGCCUUCGGGAGCCAGAACACAGGUGGUGCAUGGGCUGUCGUCAGCUCGUGUCGUGAGAUGUUGGGUUAAGUCCCGCAACGAGCGCAACCCUCGUACUAUAGUGUGCCAGCAUUUCCGGAUGGGCACUCUAAGGAGACUGCCGGUGACAAACCGGAGGAAGGUGGGGAUGACGUCAAGUCAGCUAUGCCGCCUUACCGUCCUGUGGCUACACACGUACUACAAUGCUACGGACAAAGGGCAGCGAGACUGCGAAGUCAAGCAAAUCUCAGAAACCGUGGCUCAGUUCAGAUCGCAGGCUGCAACUCGCCUGCGUGAAGGAGGAAUCGCUAGUAAUUGCAGGUCAGCAUAC